Molecule: ribosomal RNA, 796 nt
Filed under: uncultured Glomeromycotina
Lineage: Eukaryota; Fungi; Glomeromycota
Description: SSU rRNA
Rfam family: Eukaryotic small subunit ribosomal RNA
Source: RNAcentral
AUCAACUUUCGAUGGUAGGAUAGAGGCCUACCAUGGUGGUAACGGGUAACGGGGUGUUAGGGCACGACACCGGAGAGGGAGCCUGAGACACGGCCACCACAUCCAAGGAUGGCAGCAGGCGCGCAAAUUACCCAAUCCCGACACGGGGAGGUAGUGACAAUAAAUAACAAUACGGGGUCCUUUCGGGUUUCGUAAUUGGAAUGAGUACAAUUUAAAUCUCUUAACGAGGAACAAUUGGAGGGCAAGUCUGGUGCCAGCAGCCGCGGUAAUUCCAGCUCCAAUAGCGUAUAUUAAAGUUGUUGCAGUUAAAAAGCUCGUAGUUGAAUUUCGGGAUUAGUACGUUGGUCGUGCCUUCGGUACGUACUGGUGUUACUGAUUCCUACCUUCUGACGAACCAUCAUGUCAUUAAUUUGGUGUGGUGGGAAAUCAGGACUGUUACUUUGAAAAAAUUAGAGUGUUUAAAGCAGGCUCGCGCUUGAAUACAUUAGCAUGGAAUAAUGAAAUAGGACGUUGACCCUAUUUUGUUGGUUUCUAGGAUUGACGUAAUGAUUAAUAGGGAUAGUUGGGGGCAUUAGUAUUCAAUUGUCAGAGGUGAAAUUCUUGGAUUUAUUGAAGACUAACUACUGCGAAAGCAUUUGCCAAGGAUGUUUUUAUUAAUCAAGAACGAAAGUUAGGGGAUCGAAGACGAUCAGAUACCGUCGUAGUCUUAACCAUAAACUAUGCCGACUAGGGAUCGGAUGAUGUUAUUUUUAAUGACUCAUUCGGCGCCUUACGGGAAACCAAAGUGUUUGGGUUC